GCAUUCACACUUGGUUGCGAUGUAGAAUGCACAUUCCAUCAUGCUUCAGGUAUACACAUGGACAGACAUGGCUGUAUAUACAAAGUUCUGAAAUCUGGAAACGCAUUGUAUACCGUGAGCUGCCAUGCAUGGUGUCCAGAUGGCUUUUUUUACCAGCUUCCAAACUUAACGCCCUGUCUACAGAUUGCUAAUAACUUUGCUGAAAGAAGUUUAAGAUCUCAUAUAACUCAGUGCAUCCGAGGCAUAUGUGUUCAUGGAGAGUGCAGACCUUAUGCUCGUCGAGUCAACUGCAAGGUUCCAAUGACCAGAAAACACUGCUGGGACGAAUACGGGAACUAUUACCUCAUGCGACGUUAGGCUCUUUGGUCAUUACAGCUGUUGAUCGAUUCUUUGGAUUUUUCCUUCAAUAAAUCGAACAGACAAACUGUU
Molecule: non-coding RNA, 429 nt
Organism: Dermacentor andersoni
Lineage: Eukaryota; Metazoa; Arthropoda; Arachnida; Ixodida; Ixodidae
Source: RefSeq, a predicted model, not a curated record